Molecule: small nuclear RNA, 107 nt
Organism: Otolemur garnettii (small-eared galago)
Lineage: Eukaryota; Metazoa; Chordata; Mammalia; Primates; Galagidae
Source: Ensembl
GUGCUCGCUUCGGUAGCACAUAUACCAAAAUUGGAACAAUACGGAGAAGAUUCACAUGGCUCCUGCUCAAGGAUGACAUGCAAAUUCAUGAAGUGUUCCAUAUUUUU